GGACGAAAGUCUGACGGAGCAACGCCGCGUGAGUGAAGAAGGUUUUCGGAUCGUAAAACUCUGUCGUUUGGGACGAACGUGCUUUGGGUAAAUAAUCUAAAGUAAUGACGGUACCAAAGGAGGAAGCCACGGCUAACUACGUGCCAGCAGCCGCGGUAAUACGUAGGUGGCAAGCGUUGUCCGGAAUUAUUGGGCGUAAAGGGCGUGUAGGUGGAUUCUUAAGUCGUGUGUCUAAGUGCGGGGCUCAACCCCGUAUGGGCGCAGGAAACUGGGGAUCUUGAGUGCAGGAGAGGAAAGUGGAAUUCCCAGUGUAGCGGUGAAAUGCGUAGAUAUUGGGAGGAACACCAGUGGCGAAGGCGACUUUCUGGACUGUGUCUGACACUGAGGCGCGAAAGCUAGGGGAGCGAACGGGAUUAGAUACCCCGGUAGUCCUAGCCGUAAACGAUGGGUACUAGGUGUAGGAGGUAUCGACCCCUCCUGUGCCGGAGUUAACGCAAUAAGUACCCCGCCUGGGGAGUACGGCCGCAAGGUUGAAACU
Molecule: ribosomal RNA, 538 nt
Filed under: uncultured bacterium
Lineage: Bacteria
Description: bacterial SSU rRNA
Rfam family: Bacterial small subunit ribosomal RNA
Source: RNAcentral